CCCCCUCGCCACCCCACCGGUGAGGCAACUUGGGCGGCGCCCUAUCGGGGGAGGGCCGCCCGUCCUUGC
RNAcentral lists this small RNA (69 nucleotides) under Caulobacter vibrioides NA1000. Its description in RNAcentral is "small non-coding RNA". The record is from RNAcentral. Lineage: Bacteria; Pseudomonadati; Pseudomonadota; Alphaproteobacteria; Caulobacterales; Caulobacteraceae.